GGGGAUUUAGCUCAGUGGCAUAAGCACCUGCCUUGCAAGCAGGAAGUCAUGAGUUCGAUCCCCG
This 64-nucleotide transfer RNA is filed under the name Cavia porcellus (domestic guinea pig). It matches the Rfam family "tRNA", at positions 1 to 62 of the family's 71-position model. From Rfam's summary of the family: Transfer RNA (tRNA) molecules are approximately 80 nucleotides in length. Their secondary structure includes four short double-helical elements and three loops (D, anti-codon, and T loops). Lineage: Eukaryota; Metazoa; Chordata; Mammalia; Rodentia; Caviidae. The record is from Rfam by way of RNAcentral.